RNAcentral lists this ribosomal RNA (301 nucleotides) under uncultured bacterium. Its description in RNAcentral is "partial 16S ribosomal RNA". It matches the Rfam family "Bacterial small subunit ribosomal RNA", at positions 509 to 809 of the family's 1533-position model. The record is from RNAcentral.
CAGUCGCCGCGGUAAUACGUAGGGUGCAAGCGUUAAUCGGAAUUACUGGGCGUAAAGCGUGCGCAGGCGGUUUGUUAAGACAGAUGUGAAAUCCCCGGGCUCAACCUGGGAACUGCAUUUGUGACUGGCAAGCUAGAGUGUGGCAGAGGGGGGUGGAAUUCCGCGUAGCAGUGAAAUGCGUAGAUAUGCGGAGGAACACCGAUGGCGAAGGCAGCCCCCUGGGCCAACACUGACGCUCAUGCACGAAAGCGUGGGGAGCAAACAGGAUUAGAUACCCCGGUAGUCCCUGUCUCUUAUACAC